CGAAAUGCGAUAAGUAAUGUGAAUUGCAGAAUUCAGUGAAUCAUCGAAUCUUUGAACGCACCUUGCGCUCCUUGGUAUUCCUUGGAGCAUGCCUGUUUGAGUAUCAUGAAAUCUUCAAAGUAAAUCUUUUGUUAACUCAAUUGGUUUCUACUUUGGUAUUGGAGGUCUUUGCAGCUUCACACCUGCUCCUCUUGUUCAUUAGCUGGAUCUCAGUGUUAUGCUUGGUUCCACUCGGCGUGAUAAGUUAUCUAUCGCUGAGGACACUGUAAAAGGUGGCCAAGGUAAAUGCAGAUGAACCGCUUCUAAUAGUCCAUUGACUUGGACAAUACUUUUAUGAUCUGAUCUCAAAUCAGGUAGGACUACCCGCUGAACUUAAGC
RNAcentral lists this unclassified non-coding RNA (378 nucleotides) under plant metagenome. Its description in RNAcentral is "partial contains 5.8S ribosomal RNA, internal transcribed spacer 2, and large subunit ribosomal RNA". The stretch from base 1 to 106 matches the Rfam family "5.8S ribosomal RNA", at positions 49 to 154 of the family's 154-position model. The record is from RNAcentral.